GCCAGUGUGGCCAAGUGGUCUAAGGCGCUGGUUUUAGGCACCAGUCCGAAGGGGCGUGGGUUCGAAUCCCACCGCUGUCA
RNAcentral lists this transfer RNA (80 nucleotides) under Eurytemora carolleeae. RNAcentral describes it as "transfer RNA leucine (anticodon UAG)". It matches the Rfam family "tRNA". Rfam says of the family: Transfer RNA (tRNA) molecules are approximately 80 nucleotides in length. Their secondary structure includes four short double-helical elements and three loops (D, anti-codon, and T loops). The record is from RNAcentral. Lineage: Eukaryota; Metazoa; Arthropoda; Copepoda; Calanoida; Temoridae.